GUGCCAGCAGCCGCGGUAACACGUAGGGGGCGAGCGUUGUCCGGAUUUAUUGGGCGUAAAGAGCUCGUAGGCGGCUCGGUAAGUCGGGUGUGAAAUUUCAGGGCUCAACCCUGAAAAGCCACCCGAUACUGCUGUGGCUAGAGUCCGGUAGGGGAGUGGGGAAUUCCUGGUGUAGCGGUGAAAUGCGCAGAUAUCAGGAGGAACACCAGCGGCGAAGGCGCCACUCUGGGCCGGUACUGACGCUGAGGAGCGAAAGCGUGGGGAGCGAACAGGAUUAGAUACCCUGGUAGUCCACGCCGUAAACGUUGGGCACUAGGUGUGGGAGGCAGUCAACGCCUUCCGUGCCGUAGCUAACGCAUUAAGUGCCCCGCCUGGGGAGUACGGCCGCAAGGCUAAA
Molecule: ribosomal RNA, 397 nt
Filed under: uncultured bacterium
Lineage: Bacteria
Description: bacterial SSU rRNA
Rfam family: Bacterial small subunit ribosomal RNA
Source: RNAcentral